This 1110-nucleotide long non-coding RNA is filed under the name Gallus gallus (chicken). RNAcentral describes it as "long non-coding RNA NONGGAT006492". The record is from RNAcentral. Lineage: Eukaryota; Metazoa; Chordata; Aves; Galliformes; Phasianidae.
UUCUCCUGUGCCAUGCCAAGGUGUGAGCCUACAGAUUUCGGCACUUCUUUCCUGGAUCUGUUUGAAGAAUGAACGUCACUGAGAAGGCUGUGUGAUCCAAACCAGCUUUCCUGGCCUGAGCUGUUCAUUACCAUCACACCAAGCAUGACUGUAAAUGACCUUCUGUACCCUUGAUUGUAACUUCUGAGUACAGUAAACACCGCCUGGACAUCGCCUCUGCAAAAAUCUCCCCUUUCUUCCCCUGGGGCUCUUGUCAGCUCCAGGAUGACAGGAAGCAUCUGCAUCAGCUCCCAGCAACACUUCAGUGGUGCUUGCAGACAAAUUCGUAUUUCCCAAAGAUGGGAAGAAGAUUCCCAGAAGAAGGAGGUCAACUGCCUCAGACAGAAGGGCCAUGGAAGAGCCCCUUGGACACUCCCCUUGGCGGACAAUAUGCUGAUGCACGUUAGUGACUUGAUAGCGAGCUCUUGCUUUGUGGGGGCUGCUGAAGGAUGUCCUUGGUGCUUCUGUGCAGUUACGGGCUCACUGAGUCUCUUCACCAGCAUGCCACUGUGGGUUUGGCUGCAAGGCUUUCAAAGCCUGAGUGCAGCGAGCAGUGCCCGGGUGGCGUUUCUGAUGGCAUCCAUGAUGUGUCUUCUGGUAGAGGAAUGAAUAGAGCUGCUAACCACUGACCCUUGCAAACCUGCCAGAGGGAAAAAAAACAAUAAAGGAAAGUAGGCAGCAGAGCAGGGCCACACUAUUUCUAGCAACUGAGAGCUCUGAUCAGGAGAUGGACAGGUGAGGAUUUCAUUGCACUGGGGGGCAGGCUGCAGUGUCUUCCAGGCCCGAGCGGUCUGCCUGCUGUGGGGCUGCACGCCAGCAUACCCAAUAGUGUGCUAACUGUUGCUGUUUAAUCUCCAGCAUCUUGUUUGACGCCUCGGUGUAAUAAUGAUGGAAAUAAUAAAUGGCGUGCUACAAAGCCGUGUGCGUGGACUCGCUUUGUGCUGACGGCGGUGCCUUGCUCCCGGCGCGGCUCGGUGCCAGCCUGCUUCCAGCUGAGUCAGUUGGAGCAGGCAAAGGCCCAGCUCAACAGCUGGCACCAUUUCAGGGGCCAUUGCGCUGGGUGCAGCAGAG